GAUGAACGCUGGCGGCGUGCCUAAUACAUGCAAGUCGAGCGAACGGACGAGAAGCUUGCUUCUCUGAUGUUAGCGGCGGACGGGUGAGUAACACGUGGAUAACCUACCUAUAAGACUGGGAUAACUUCGGGAAACCGGAGCUAAUACCGGAUAAUAUUUUGAACCGCAUGGUUCAAAAGUAAAAGACGGUCUUGCUGUCACUAAUAGAUGGAUCCGCGCUGCAUUAGUUGGUUGGUAAGGUAACGGCUUACCAAGGCAACGAUGCAUAGCCGACCUGAGAGGGUGAUCGGCCACACUGGAACUGAGACACGGUCCAGACUCCUACGGGAGGCAGCAGUAGGGGAUCUUCCGCAAAGGGCGAAAGCCUGACGGAGCAACGCCGCGUGAGUGAUGAAGGUCUUCGGAUCGUAAAACUCUGUUAUUAGGGAAGAACAUAUGUGUAAGUAACUGUGCACAUCUUGACGGUACCUAAUCAGAAAGCCACGGCUAACUACGUG
Molecule: ribosomal RNA, 497 nt
Filed under: uncultured bacterium
Lineage: Bacteria
Description: partial 16S ribosomal RNA
Rfam family: Bacterial small subunit ribosomal RNA
Source: RNAcentral